Molecule: long non-coding RNA, 1428 nt
Filed under: Anser cygnoides (Swan goose)
Lineage: Eukaryota; Metazoa; Chordata; Aves; Anseriformes; Anatidae
Description: lncRNA (ENSACDG00005000728.1)
Source: RNAcentral
AAGACAGUAUGGAGCAAUUCAGAAAGAAAAAGGCUGCGAGCGCGAUCCUCACUGAAGUCUGCGGUAACUCUUACAGAGUUCGUGGUCCCGAAUGUCCCCCCAGCCUCCGUUUUUCACGUGGGGGGACAGGGGUGCCAUGGAGUACCUUUUACUGAUACUCAUGGCUUCGGGGAACAGGUACUGUCGGUUGCUGUUCAAGAGAGAGUCGAUUUUGGCACUCUGGGUGGACGGUCUGCAGGAUUUCUUGUGGUGCAUGCCACAGUCCCCCGUGUGGAAAAUCCUGGGGAUUUCGGGGACCAGCACUUUCCAGAACUUUGGAAGACAGGAGACAGUCAAGUGCUGCAGAGUCCAGUCCCAGUUGUAGUCAUCGUAGGUGCAGAAGGCGUCCGUGCACUCGAUGAGCUUCUGGUAGGUGUCUCUGCCGAAGGCCAUGCCCAUGUUGUGCUCGGUGGACUUCCACGUCUUCAUCUCCACCUUGUCGGCGCGGCCGGCGAAGCCGCCGCGCACGGGGCCGUAGGUGCCCAGCGAGACGAUCUGGCACUCGGGGCACUCGCGCUCGCGCAGCGCCCACAGCUUUUUGAGGACGUGGUAGAAGUCGGGCGCCAGGUAGUGGUCCUCCUCCAGGAAGACGACGGGCCCGGCGUGCUCGCGCAGCGCCCGCACCCGCUCCCAGACGAAGUGCAGCUUCCACCACCAGUGGUGCUUGGUCUGCGAGAAGCGGGCCUCGCGGUAGUGCCCGAAGGAGUCGGGGUACUCGGCGUUGAUGCAGCCCAGCCGCAGGGCCGCCGCCUUGCCCACGUCGCGGGGGCAGUCGCGGGGGUCGUGCCCGGGGAACUCGCGGGGGUAGAGCUGGAUGCUGAAGGGGAAGAAGACCUGCAGCACCGGGCAGAAGUCCACGCCGGCCGCCAGCCGGUUCAGCUCCUCGGCCCACAGGUCGUGGCUCAGCACCAGCAGCACGUUCUCCACGCCCGCCGCCCGCCGCAGCGACUCGAGCAGCAGCCGCAGGUGCUCGGCGCGAUCGUGCACCUGCACCACCAGCACCACGUCGGCGGCACCGCCACCGGCACCGGGGGCCCGGGCCGGGAAGCGCCCCGCGUUGCUCAGCGGCUGGUCGAAGUUGAGCCGGUAGACGAGCGAGCGGUAGCUCCGCGUCCCGUUCUCGGCGGGCAGCGGCACGAGCUGGGGGACGGCGGCGGCCGAGGCCGAGGCGUUGNNNNNNNNNNNNNNNNNNNNCACCGGGGGCACCGGGCACCGAACGCACGCAGCGCGGGGCUCCCGGUGCCCAACGCCCCCGGGGACCCUGGGGCCGGUGGGGACGUCGAGGAGCGGCCCCGGGACGCGCCGGUCCUGGGCAACCCCGGUCCUAGGACGCCCCCAGGUUCCCCCCCCCCGGCCAAAGCACAAGGACGCGGACACCGGGAAGGUUGA